This 274-nucleotide ribosomal RNA is filed under the name uncultured bacterium. Its description in RNAcentral is "partial 16S ribosomal RNA". It matches the Rfam family "Bacterial small subunit ribosomal RNA", at positions 523 to 796 of the family's 1533-position model. The record is from RNAcentral.
CUACGGAGGGUGCAAGCGUUGUUCGGAAUCACUGGGCGUAAAGGGCGCGCAGGCGGUUUGGUAAGUCAGAUGUGAAAGCCCACGGCUCAACCGUGGAAGUGCAUUUGAAACUGCCAGACUUGAGUACCAGAGGGGAAAGUGGAAUUCCCGGUGUAGAGGUGAAAUUCGUAGAUAUCGGGAGGAAUACCGGUGUCGAAGGCGACUUUCUGGCUGGAUACUGACGCUGAGGCGCGAAAGCGUGGGGAGCAAACAGGAUUAGAAACCCUAGUAGUCC